CGUUGCGGCGGCAUGCAAAUUUAUCAUCUCGUCCCACCGAGAAGCUCUACGACGAACAAAAAGUAGUAGUAUCGUACCCGCGGGAUUAUGGACUGGCAUCAUGUUCUUCACCAAACUUGUCCAACUCGAGUAUUUCUGUGACGCAACACAGCCUACGAUCUCGACUGGCAACGGAAAAAGCUGCGAGAAGACGAGGAACAAGUGGCUGGCAGAGGCAGACUAAACCAAAGCAUCAGAGAGUCACUCUCCGGAGGCAUUACAGGUUCUUGGUAGCAGCGUCGCCGUCAAAAAUCAUUGGAAAGGAGAAACUCGAGUCAAUCCGAGGGAUGGUUUCAACACGCUUGGGAUGAGGCCGGGCUUUACCAUUUUAAAAAUGGCAGGAUCUUGCACGGUUUUGCCUCGGGAGUACAAGCGUUCAAAGAAGGCCGAGAAAGUUUUCUCCUAAAGACCAGAUCGAGCUCGGAGGCACCUAACAAUCAAAGUCGUCGAUCGACCGCCUCUACCACUCCAAGCUAGCAAGCGGUCCCUCCCUCCAUCCAGCGAGGUUUGUAAGGAAUCCAUUCGUUUUUGUUUCCUUCUUCGAAUUUAUUGUGCUAGUGGCGUUCCUAGCGCUGUGAUUGAUCGUUU
Molecule: long non-coding RNA, 627 nt
Organism: Selaginella moellendorffii
Lineage: Eukaryota; Viridiplantae; Streptophyta; Lycopodiopsida; Selaginellales; Selaginellaceae
Exons: 2
Source: RefSeq, a predicted model, not a curated record